Molecule: ribosomal RNA, 258 nt
Filed under: uncultured bacterium
Lineage: Bacteria
Description: partial 16S ribosomal RNA
Rfam family: Bacterial small subunit ribosomal RNA
Source: RNAcentral
GUCCACACAGUAAACGAUGAAUACUCGCUGUUUGCGAUAUACAGUAAGCGGCCAAGCGAAAGCAUUAAGUAUUCCACCUGGGGAGUACGCCGGCAACGGUGAAACUCAAAGGAAUUGACGGGGGCCCGCACAAGCGGAGGAACAUGUGGUUUAAUUCGAUGAUACGCGAGGAACCUUACCCGGGCUUAAAUUGCAAAUGAAUUAUGGGGGAAACCCAUACGCCGCAAGGCAUUUGUGAAGGUGCUGCAUGGUUGUCGU